GUGAGGAAUAUUGGGCAAUGGACGCAAGUCUGACCCAGCCAUGCCGCGUGCAGGAUGAAGGCCCUAUGGGUUGUAAACUGCUUUUGUAUGGGAAGAAACUCUCGCACGUGUGCGGGAUUGACGGUACCGUACGAAUAAGCAUCGGCUAACUCCGUGCCAGCAGCCGCGGUAAUACGGAGGAUGCAAGCGUUAUCCGGAUUCAUUGGGUUUAAAGGGUGCGUAGGCGGAAUGAUAAGUCAGUGGUGAAAUCCUGCGGCUUAACCGUAGAACUGCCGUUGAUACUGUCAUUCUUGAAUGCAGUUGAGGUGGGUGGAAUGUGUAAUGUAGCGGUGAAAUGCAUAGAUAUUACACAGAACGCCAAUUGCGAAGGCAGCUCACUAAGCUGUGAUUGACGCUGAGGCACGAAAGCGUGGGGAUCAAACAGGAUUAGAAACCCCUGUAGUCC
RNAcentral lists this ribosomal RNA (445 nucleotides) under uncultured bacterium. Its description in RNAcentral is "bacterial SSU rRNA". It matches the Rfam family "Bacterial small subunit ribosomal RNA", at positions 354 to 796 of the family's 1533-position model. The record is from RNAcentral.